UCAGUUUGGCAGUAAAUAUACUAAAAUUGGAAUUAUACAGACCAGGUUUGUAGCGUCCCUGUGUAAGGAUGAAAGGCAAACAUAUGAAGCACUCCAUAUUUUU
Small nuclear RNA from Apodemus sylvaticus (European woodmouse), 103 nucleotides. The record is from RefSeq and is a predicted model, not a curated record. Lineage: Eukaryota; Metazoa; Chordata; Mammalia; Rodentia; Muridae.